GCAACUCGCCUACAUGAAGCUGGAAUUGCUAGUAAUCAUAGGUCAGCAUACUAUGGUGAAUACGUUCCCGGGCCUUGUACACACCGCCCGUCACACCAUGAGAGUUGAGAAUACCCGAAGUCCAUGUCAAAGUGGCCGAAGGUAGGCUUGAUGAUUGGGGUGAAGUCGUAACAAGGUAUC
Molecule: ribosomal RNA, 180 nt
Filed under: uncultured bacterium
Lineage: Bacteria
Description: partial 16S ribosomal RNA
Rfam family: Bacterial small subunit ribosomal RNA
Source: RNAcentral